AGGGCGCACGGUGGAUGCCCUGGCUCCCGGAGGCGACGAAGGGCGCGACAAGCCGCGAAAGGCCCGGGGGAGGCGCACAUGGCCGUUGAUCCCGGGGUUCCCGAAUGGGGCAACCCGGCGGGCUGCUGGCCCGCCACCCCGCGAGGGGGGCGAACCCGGCGAACCGAAACAUCCCAGUAGCCGGAGGAGGAGAAAGCAACCGCGAUUCCCCGAGUAGCGGCGAGCGAAAGGGGAGCAGCCCAAACCGGGCGGGUCUCGGCCCGCCCGGGGUAGUAGGGCCCACGUGAGGCCGGCGCCGGCGCGAGCCGAAGCGCCUGGAACGGCGCGCCGCAGCGGGUGAGAGCCCCGUAGGCGGCGCGGCCGGCGGCGGCCGGUGGGGACCCUGAGUAGGGCGGGGCACGUGGAACCCCGCCCGAAUCCGCCGGGACCACCCGGCAAGGCUAAAUACUCCCGGGAGACCGAUAGCGAACCAGUACCGUGAGGGAAAGGUGAAAAGCACCCCGAGCAGGGGAGUGAAAGAGCACCUGAAACCGUGCGCCCGCAAGCGGUCGGAGCCCCCUCUGGGGGGUGACGGCGUGCCUUUUGCAUAAUGAGCCUACGAGUCACGGCGGCCGGCGGGGUUAACCAUCGAUGAUGGGGAGCCGGAGCGAAAGCGAGUCCGAAAGGGGCGCUGAGUCGGCCGCCGUGGGCGCGAAACCGGGUGAUCUACCCAUGGCCAGGCUGAAGGCGCUGUGAGAGGCGCUGGAGGGCCGAACCGGUAGGCGUUGAAAAGCCUUCGGAUGAGCUGUGGGUAGGGGUGAAAGGCCAAUCAAACCCGGAGAUAGCUCGUACUCCCCGAAAUGCCUUUAGGGGCAGCCUCGGGCAGAGCCGGCCGGAGGUAGAGCGACUGGCUGGACGCGAGGGCUUCGCCGCCUAUCAAGUCCUGCCAAACUCCGAAUGCCGGCCCGGCGUGCCCGGGAGUGAGCCGCGGGGUGCUAAUGCCCCGCGACGAGAGGGGAAGAACCCGGACCAGCGGCUAAGGCCCCCAAGCGCGCGCUAAGUUGACCAAACGCGGUGCGGCCCCAGUGACAGCUAGGAUGUUGGCUUGGAAGCAGCCAUUCAUUCAAAGAGUGCGUAACAGCUCACUAGUCGAGGGGCCGCGCAUGGAUGAUGAGCGGGCAUCAAGCGCGCCGCCGAGGCCCUGGACUGCGCCCUUGGCGCAGUGGUAGGGGAGCAUUCCCGCCGGCGUAGAAGCGGGGCCGCGAGGCCCGGUGGAGCGGCGGGAAAGGCAAAUGUAGGCAUGAGUAGCGAUAACGGGGGUGGGAAACCCCCGCACCGAUAGGCCCAGGGUUCCUGAUCAACGCUAAUCGGAUCAGGGUUAGCCGGGGCCUAAGGCUAAGGCGAAGGCCGACGCCGAUGGGGAACGGGCUAAUAUUCCCGUGCUGCCGCCCGCUGCGACGGGGGGACGGAGUCGUGAUAGCCGCGCCCGGCGACGGACUGCCGGGCCGAAGGGGGGUAGGUACUGGCCGGGGGCAACGCCCCGGGCAGCCGAGCCCCGACAGCGCCGCGAGCCCGAGGGCGAGCGGUUAAGCGGCGUAAUCUUGCUCCCGAGAAAAGCCCCUAAGCUCCAGGCGGGCGGCACCCGUACCGCAAACCGACACAGGUGGCCAGGGCGAGGAGCCCGAGGUGCUCGAGUGAUUCACGGCUAAGGAACUAGGCAAACUGACCCUGUAACUUCGGGAGAAAGGGUCCCCCCGCGGGGACGCGGGGGGCGCAGCGAAGUGGCCCAGGCGACUGUUUAGCAAAAACACAUGGCUCUGCCAAAUCGGGAGAUGACGUAUAGGGCCUGACACAGCCCCGGUAAACGGCGGCCGUAACUAUAACGGUCCUAAGGUAGCGAAAUUCCUUGUCGGGUAAGUUCCGACCUGCACGAAUGGUGCAACGAUCUGGGCGCUGUCUCAGCCGUGAGCUCGGCGAAAUUGAAGUCGCGGUGAAGAUGCCGCGUACCCGCAACGGGACGGAAAGACCCCGUGAACCUUUACUGCAGCUUCGCGCUGCUGCUGCGCUGGCGUUGUGUAGGAUAGGCCGGAGGCUUUGAUGCGGGGUCGCCAGACCCCGCGGAGCCGCCCUUGAAAUACGGCCCUUCGCCCGCGCGGGAGCUAACCCCCGUUCCGGGGGGACACCGCGUGGCGGGUAGUUUGACUGGGGUGGUCGCCUCCAAAAGGGUAACGGAGGCUCCCCAAGGUGCCCUCAGCGCGGAUGGUAACCGCGCGCAGCGUGCAAUGGCAUAAGGGCGCUUGACUGCGAGGCCGACGGGCCGAGCAGGUGCGAAAGCAGGGCAUAGUGAUCCGGUGGUUCCGCGUGGAAGGGCCAUCGCUCAAAGGAUAAAAGGUACUCCGGGGAUAACAGGCUGAUCG
Molecule: ribosomal RNA, 2396 nt
Filed under: oral metagenome
Description: bacterial LSU rRNA
Rfam family: Bacterial large subunit ribosomal RNA
Source: RNAcentral